RNAcentral lists this unclassified non-coding RNA (330 nucleotides) under uncultured fungus. Its description in RNAcentral is "sequence contains ITS2". The record is from RNAcentral. Lineage: Eukaryota; Fungi.
AACGCAACUUGCACCCUUUGGUAUUCCGAGGGGUACACCUGUUUGAGCGUCGUGAAUAUUCUCAACCCAAGGUUCUUUAUUGAAGGUUGGGCUUGGACUUUUGGAGGCUUUGCUGGAUUUCUUCGGCUCCUCUUAAAUGCAUUAGCAAAAAGACCCUUUGCGUGGCCUUGACGUGAUAAUGAUUGUCUACGUCGAACGAAGCCUGGCUUAGUUGGGACUUGCUUCUAACCGUCGUCCGUCAAAGGGGGACAAAUUGCUUGCAAGUCUUUUUUGGCUUGUAAGAAUAUCGACCUUGACCUCAAAUCAGGUGGGGUUACCCGCUGAACUUAA